GUAACUCAUUUUCUGAAAGAAAAAAAAAAAACGAAAUUUUAGUUAUGCUGCAUAAUUUACAAGUUGGUAUUGAACACAUAGAAAGGAUGAGAGAAAGUUUGGAGAAUGAAAUAUUGUUUAUCAGUGGGGUAGAUUUAGAAGAAGAUAGAACAAACGUGGUAUUUAAUGAGUUAUUAAACCAACCAAGUCAUGAGCCAUACCCUGACUGUUCAAAAUUUUCAUCCCUGAACUUUUUGGUUACGAUGAUGCAUGUGAAGGUUCUAAAAUAUAUGAGUAACAAGUGUUUCGAUAUGAUUUUACAAAUAAUAAAACGUGCAUUUCUAAUGUGUGGUACCAAUGCCCUUGGUUCAUUCUACGAAGCCAAACAUAAAUUGCGUGAGUUGGGCCUUAGAUUCGAGACUAUUCAUGCCUAUAAGUAUGAAUGUAUUGUUCUAGAAGGAGUUUGGAGAUUUGCAACUUGUGGUGAGUCUCGGUACAUGGUUAGUUCCAACAACUGAUCAUCAGGGAAAAAAUCUGUAGAAAGUAUUGCACCACUUUCUGUUAAUGUCGAGAUUACAACGCUUGUUUCUAUCGCAAGAAAGCUUGGUGAACAUGAGAUGUCAUAAGGAUAAAUGAGUGGAAACAAAUGUUGUGCUGAGACAUCCAACUGAUGCAGAGGGAUGAAAGCAUUUUGAUUCUGAAUUUCUUAAUUUUGCUUUAGAGCCACAUAACGUUUAUUUGGGGUUAGCUUUAGAUGAAUUUAAUUUUUUCAGUCAUAUGAGUACCUCGUAUGGUAUAUACCCUAUGAUGUUAAUUUCUUACAAUUUGCCGCCAUAGAAAUGCAUGAAAGAGUCAAAAUUAUACAUGUGAUUGCUCAUUCUCGACCCAAAAUCUCCUAGUAGGGAAAUUGAUGUGUACCUACAACCAUUAAUUGAGGAAUUAAAAAAUCUAUGGACUUUUGGUUUGCAUACGUAUGAUUGUCUUACACAUCUAUGUUUUCAUUUGUAUACAGUCUUGUUGUAGACAAUUAAUGACUUCCUAACAUAUGGUAAUCUAUCUAGGUAGAGUAUGAAAGGGUAUCAGGCAUGUUCCAUAUGCAUGAGAGAUAGAUUGUCGUUCGGUAUAAGAGGAAAAAUAUUUUUUAUGAAAUAUCAGCGCUAUCUUUCAGGUAAGCACGUUUGACGUAGAAGUAGGCUACAUAAUGAAAAGUAGAGCGUAAGUCACCUCUAGUGGUAAUUAAUGGCCAAAAAAUCUUGGAACAACUAGAUUCAUUGGAGUUUCUAGUUAUGAGUAAGAAUCAUGUGUUGAAAGAUAGAAAAAGAAAGAAAUCCCUUAAUUAAACAAAGAAAAGUAUUUUUUUCGAUCUUCCUUAUUGUUCGAGACUACUUAUUUGUCACAAACUUGGUUGGUACAUUGUUAAAUAUCGAAGGAAAAACUAAGGAUACCACGAAUACCUGAUUGGAUCUACAAGAUUUACAAAUAAGAAAAGAUUUACAUUUGAUAGAAGUUGGUAAUCAAUUAGUGAAACCACAUGCGAGCUAUACGUUGACCAGCAACGAGCAGGUUAAGUUUUGCAAGUUCUUGAAAGCAGUUAAGUUUUCCGAUAGAUUCGUUUCUAAUAUUUCAUGAUGUGUGAAUGCAAACGAGGGGAAAAUAUCAAGUCUAAAAAGUACAACUUUCAUGUUCUGCUACACCGGCUUCUACCAAUCGGUACUCGUCCAUUCUUACUGAGAAAUGUGUACACCGCUAUUACUGAACUGUGUAGUUAUUUUCAUGAUUUGUGUGACAAGACGAUAAUAGUAAGUGAUUUGGACAGAUUGCAGGCAUAUAUCAUAAAUAUACUGUGCAAACUUGAAAGAAUAUUCCCACAGACUUUUUUCAGCUUAAUGGUACACCUUAUAGUUCACCUACAAUAUGAAACCAAGAUUGUUGGUUCAGUUUCUUACAGUUGGAUGUAUCCCAAAAAGAAGUCUCCGCACACUAAAAUAUUAUGUUCGUAACAAAGCAUGUCCUCAUGGGUCUAUUGCAGAAGGCUAUCUUAUGAAUGAAUCAAGUAGUUUUUGUUCACCGUGUCUAAGUGAGAUUGAGACCCGAUUGACUAAAGAUGAUCGAAAUAACGAUAGUAUUCCAGAGCACGAGGUGAUUAUGAGUUCAAAGUGUUUGUUCAGAAGGUACAAGCAUUGGGAGCGUCCCAUUUUCGAAGCGUAUCAGAAGAAGAGAAACGACUCUUUCAUUGGUACAUCCUAUUUUUGAUGUAAUAGCGGAGUACCACAAGUACUCAUCUCUACACUAAUCAUGAUGAGUCUUUGUUAUUGUCGCCACCUAAACUCAAAAUUAUGUACUUCAAGAAACACCUAGUGUUGAUACUCGUCGAGGUGAAACCAUUUAUGAAACUUUUAAAAGACAUGAACGAGCUUUUUUGAAUGGUCCAAAGCUUUUUGUGAAUUCUUGCAUGCGGUACUUUAUAUUUUAUAUAUAAUCUGUUCAUUUACACUCAUUUCAGGUUAUAGUAGAAAGGCAUGAGAGUUCAAAUAUUUCUCAACAUUUCUUCUGAAUCGCAAUGGGACCUUCACUUGAGGUCUGCUCUUAUAGUGGAUGCAUUAUCGAUGGCGUACGAUUUCACACUUUGGAGUGUGAUUUCUAAUGCAGAACACAGAAUAGUAGAGUCAUGGUAGAUAGUGAAGUUAGUGGAGGUAGUGCUAACAACAAUUUCUACCGGGGUUUUAGAUGAAGUGUUGCAAGUUCAAUAUCCAUUUGGACGACGUGCUUGAUUAUCUAAGUGGAGAUCGUUUGACACAAACAUCAACCAAAACCAUAGAACACACAUGGAACUAUCUAAGUGCUAACAACAAUUUCUACCGGUGUUUUAGAUGAAGUGUUGCAAGUUCAAUAUCCAUUUGGACGACGUGCUUGACUAUCUAAGUGGAGAUCGUUUGACACAAACAUCAACCAAAACCAUAGAACACACAUGGAACUAGCCUACAAAUCAAUAGACAUAUCCCAUUUUUGGUUUGUUAAGGAACCAAUGAUUAUUCUCGUAACCUAUACAUCAAGUUUUCUACCUCGAGGACCCUAAAAAUGGUACGAAUUGGAAAAUUAUUCAAAGUGGUAUAGAAUAAACGUGUAUGGGACGUGCCAGAAGAAGAAGAUGUCAAGAAUGACCAACUUAAUGUAUUGAAAACAGUCGUCGGACAUCGUUUGGACUAAACACUGAUUGAGGGUGCAACUCUGUGCAAAACUGAAGUUGAUCCAACCGUGGUGGAAAGACCAAAUAUGCGUCCUAUUGCGGAUAACUUCAUAGAUGAUAAUGAACAAUGAUUAUCAUCACAUCAAAGCGGGUCAAGUAAAAAUGAAUAAAAAUGUCUUCUUAACGUAUACACAUUAGUCAUAUAUUUUUCUAUGCAUUUAGUUUGCAGUACUUACAUUUUGUUUAACGUCUGUGGAUUUUUAUGUGUGCAUGAAUUAUGUCUAGCUUUUCGGUCAGUAAUCAUGAUGUAGGCAUUUUUCUCAAUUUGGAGGCGUUAGAUAUCUCUAAAAUCAUCAAGUAUUAACAUAUUGCAACACCAAACAUAUAUUUCAACAUAAAAGCAAAACCAAAGAUGAAUGAUGAGAGUUGGAUCAAUAAUAUUAUAUUAUAUAAUAAAAAUUAUUAUAAAAAAAACAUAUACUUUUGUCAUAGGGAAAACACAUGUAGCUUGUAAAAACAUUUAAAUGUUUGUAAAAAAAUUGUUGAAGAUAUGUCUUUAUAUAUAGUUGAAGAAAAUAAAUUCUUACAAAGUCUUUUCAAAUCUCAUCAUUAAAUAUAAAUUCAUGUUUCUAAGAAAUUAAAUUAUUGAAAUAAAUAGAUAAAAACCUUUCAUAUUCUAUUAAUCACUAGUUAAUAUUGAUUUUCUAUUUAUAAUAAAUAAAAUCAAUUAUAAAAUAAUAUAAUUCAUAAACUUUCUUUUAUAAAAAUUAAUGGAAUAUAAAUGGCUUGUUUUAUAAUUUAUUUGAAAUCUCAUCCUUAAAUAUAAAUUUAUAAGCUUUAGAAAUUAGAUUCAUGAAAUAAAUAAUAAAAACCUUUCACAUUCUAUAAUGAAGUUAAGCAUUUGAAAUGUUGAAUUAUUGAUUUUAUUUUUUAUAUUAAAUAAAUAAGUUAUAAAAUAAUAUAAUUCAUAUAAACUUCUUUUAGAAAACUCAUGAAAUAUAAAUGACUUGUUUUUUUUUUUUUUAAAUCUCAUCAUUAAAUAUAAAUUCUUAAUCUUUAAAAAUUAAAUUAUUGAAAUAAAUAGAAAAAAAAGGUUAUGAAGUUAAGAAUUUGAAAAGAUAAUUAUUCAUUUUAUUCUUUAUACUAAAAACAAAUAAUAAAUCAAUUAUAAAAUAAUAUAAUUUAUAAUUUUCUUAAAAUUUAAACAAUAUCUAAUAUUUAUUUUAAAGUAUAGGAUAAUAUUAUAAAUUUAAAAUUUGGCAAGGGGUAGAAUUGUCUAAAAAUGAUUCUCUCCCUACGUGACUUUUAAUAUAGUAAGGAUAAAGAUUAUAUUAUUAGAAGACAAAAAGAAGAUUUGUUAGGAAAAUGAAUGAGAAGAGAGAAUAAGUUUUUUUUUUGUUAGAUAAGAAUAAGGAAAAGGAAAAAGGGAUUAUUUAAAGAAAGAAAUAUAAUAAUAAUAUUUAAUAAUAAUAUAUAAUUAACCCCCUCGUGAAGCGUGCACCAUUAAACUCACAAUUCAAACUUCAUCUUCUUUCUUUGACAAAACCCUAGCCACCGCCUAAGUUCUCUGAUCACAUCUCUGCCAUAGACGACACUAUUUCCAUCUCCGUCAAGCUCUCUCCGUCGGUAGCAACGCGUUAGUCUUCGUCACUGGUUUUCGUCGUGUUUCCACUCCUAGUUCGUCAUAAUGAAGCUGACGCGUCCGGUCUCCUCUUUCAUCUGCCGGCCGCGUCUGAACAUUAUCAUCUAUCUUCAUCUCCUUGUCUCAGGAGAAGCCAAUCGUGCCUCGUCUCCAUUCGACCGUCUCUACUAGCUUCUAUCGCAGUCAGUCACAAUUGUCAUCGUUACUAAUAUAUGUUUGAUAUACCUUAUACACGUCUGUUAUACCUAAUACCCCUUAAUACACCUGAUACUUCUCUGGUACACACCUGAAACAUCUUUAAAACACAUUAUAGUACUCCUCGUCACACUUGAUUCUUCUUAAUACACUUGAUACCUCUUAGGCCUUGAUAGUUUGAUACACUUAAGGACUUCACUCAUAAGUUUGAUACACCACUAAUAAGCUUGUUAUGCUUCAUUGGUACACACAACAAAUUUGAUAUGUUUGAUGCACUCGAUGCACUGCAGAUACACUUAGUAUUCUUCACUUAUACAUUUGAUUGAUUAAAUAUACUUGAUAUGCUUGAAGUCCUACUUAUACACUUAUAUACUAUUGAUAUUUACCUGUAAACUUGAUAAUGAUUCACUUUAGUGAUAUGCUUUAACAAUAUACUGUUGAUAUACUUGAUAAUGAUACUGAGUUACACCAUUCAUAUACUUAAUAAUACUCUAAUGAACGUAGUAAGUAUAUUAACCAAUUAAUACAUAUAAUAUAAGUAUGUCACAACACUGAUAUACAAAACUAACCAAUUAAUACAUAUAAUAUAAGUAUGUCACAACACUGAUAUACAAAACUGAUACAAAGUAAAACCAAGAAAAAAUCAAUGUAAAAAAAUAAAACAAAAUCAUUUGGAAUCAUAUUCAAUUCAAAAUAUACAUAGAAGAAAGUAAAAAAAAAAUCACAAAUGAAGUUAA
Molecule: long non-coding RNA, 5740 nt
Filed under: Cucumis sativus (cucumber)
Lineage: Eukaryota; Viridiplantae; Streptophyta; Magnoliopsida; Cucurbitales; Cucurbitaceae
Description: long non-coding RNA (CSAT_LNC002030)
Source: RNAcentral